UACGUAGGGGGCAAGCGUUAUCCGGAAUUACUGGGUGUAAAGGGAGCGUAGACGGCAGUGCAAGUCUGGAGUGAAAGGCGGGGGCUCAACCCCCGGACUGCUCUGGAAACUGUACGGCUGGAGUGCAGGAGAGGUAAGUGGAAUUCCUAGUGUAGCGGUGAAAUGCGUAGAUAUUAGGAGGAACACCAGUGGCGAAGGCGGCUUACUGGACUGUAACUGACGUUGAGGCUCGAAAGCGUGGGGAGCAAACAGG
Molecule: ribosomal RNA, 253 nt
Filed under: uncultured bacterium
Lineage: Bacteria
Description: partial 16S ribosomal RNA
Rfam family: Bacterial small subunit ribosomal RNA
Source: RNAcentral